Capsicum annuum is the source of this 2267-nucleotide long non-coding RNA. RefSeq lists it as uncharacterized. The transcript has 5 exons. NCBI's taxonomy places the organism in Eukaryota, Viridiplantae, Streptophyta, Magnoliopsida, Solanales, Solanaceae. The record is from RefSeq and is a predicted model, not a curated record.
GGGCAUUUUGAAGGUGGUCUCUAUUGUCCUUGCCCAAGGAUGUUGGUCUUCCUUUUCUCAUAAUCACAACUUCUGCUGCUCUUCCUCUUUGGGAAGCUGAGUUCUCAUGUUGGACUGGUGUCAACGUUGUUGUGUACCAAGGAUCUCGAAGUGCUUAAGCCAAUAAGUUGGGGGGCGGUAGUUAUAGAUCAGUGUCAGGGUUUAGCCUUGUCAAUGCAUCACUCACAAAUUAAAAUGCUCAUUGCUGAUAUGAGAUUACUUAUUUUUCAUCAGGAUAAAUGUGCUACAAGGUUCAAUAGCUGCAGCGUUCUCUCUUUACUUGAUACGAAAUAUGACAAGGCAAACAAUGAGUUAAACACUGAUUCCGACUUAGAUCUAACUGAAUUCAAGAAAAGGCUUAAGCACUUUGUUGCAUAUGAGUGCAAGUCCUCAUCAUCGAAGUUUAUUGAAUAUUGGGUUCCUGUCAAACUCUCCAAUGAGCCAAUUGAGCAAUAUUGCACUUGCCUCUUUGAUAAUUUGCUCAUCUAUGAAGAAUGACUCACCAUGCUGCGUCGACAAUAUACUUAAAUAUACCAGGAAGACUUCCACUGUUUUCUCAGUGUUAUGAUCACCCUUACCUCAAAGAUAAAUCGCUGGAAGGCAUAGUUACGAAAGACAUUCCUUAAGAUCAGCGCUUUGAUGUUGAAAUUAAACUAAGUGGCAAAUUGGAACUCCUCAAUAAGAUUCUUCUGGAGAUCAAACAGCAAAGACAAAGAGUCCUCAUUCUUUUUCAGUCUCAUGAUGGCUCGGGUGUUUAUUCCAUUCGGAAUAUCUCGAGUGAUUUGAUUCCUAAGAAAUUUGGUGGGGAUUCAUGUAUGAACAUUAGUGGGAGUGGUCAAGGGAAGAUAGCUACGUUGAACAAAUACAACAACAUGGAAAGUGGGAUAUUUUCUUUGUUGAUGGAAACAAGUGCUUCUGUUCGUAGUGUGAUCAAGCUCUCAGGAAUAGAGAUAAUUUUAUCGUUUAACAGUGACUGGAAUCCAAAUAACGAUUUACGAUCCCUGCAGAAGAUUUUGUUUAAUUCAAAAUCGGAGCAUAUAAAUGUACUUCAUCUCUAUUCAUGUUUCACUGUUGAAGAGAAAGCUUUAAUGCUUGCAAUGCGAGGUAAGCAUGUUCGCAUAACGGGUAUAAACCAAGUAGCUUGCCAGGAGCUGCUAUCUUGGCGUGCCCCUUAUCUUUUCAAUGUACAAUCUUCAAUCUCAAAGUGAUCGUCUGAAGUUGCUGGUAUAGAUGAUAUCUUUGCGGAACUUUUAGGCUUAAUGUCUAGUAACCGUUAGAACAAUAAUCAUAACGGUUGCUCAAAGAUAGUGACAGUACAAGAGAAUGGAAGGACUUAUUCAGGUGAGAUACCCCUACUUGGUGAAGUGGAAAUGCAACAAACAGAUUCUUCUUUUGUGAGAUGAUUGUCGGAGAAUGAUCCACCCCACGAUUUCUGGAAAAAUCUGCUGCAUGAAGUGGCUCCUAAGUGGAAACACUACUUGCGUAGUUCAUCUCGAGGGGAGUAGAAGGAAAGUUAGACUCGGGGAACAAGUUUGUGAAAAAGAGGGCAAUAGAGUUCAUUUACUCCAAAGCCCAAUUUAAGGAAGCAACGCGAGUUGCAUGUCCAGGGUAACGAUACUUUAAGUCUCGGUUUCCAUUAGUACUCCUUUAUCAACAUACACUGACAUAUUUGUGUUUUGAUGCCAAUCCCAUUUUCUAAGAACAUCGCAUCCUUCUGCUGGUGAUAAGCAUAAAACAGACGUAUUGGUGCAGUAAAUGAUGCAGGUUUGAGAAGCAGAAACACACAAUCCCCUUAUGCAAACCCACUUCAAAUGGAGAUGGAGAAGAUACAAAAGGAGAGAACAAACUAAGAAAUUGCAAGAAGAUAUGGUUUGUCCUUCCGACCUCUGUUUUCCUGUGAAAAUUUUCUAAUGGCUGCCAAUCCAUCACCGAAUGUUGAAUUGCCUAGAGUGGAAGAGUCAGCUGCAGUUCGGUAAACAAGUGCAAGGGACACCUUGGUUGAAACGACCCCAACACCAACACCAAACUAUCAGCCUGUUAUUCUUACACCAAGUCAACCAUCGGUCCAAAAUUUGAGUAAUGCAGUGCGCCCUGGAGCAGGCUGUGAACAACGUAGACCGGCUCCACAUCUGAGACCUUUUAGAUGAUUCAUACAGCUGAUCCCAAUUUGAUUUGGCGGUCCAGCUCCCCGAUAAACGAGGAGGGUUGAAGUAGAUUGGUAUCCAGCG